AACAGGAGCUGGCAGAGUAAUUGUCAAGAAAAGAAGACACCAUUUACGAAUUUUUUUUUUUUUUUUUAAAGAGAUUAAGAUAAGACUAGGUGAAGAUCUGACAUCGCAGAAUUCUUCAAGGAUAACACGCCUUUUCUGCCAAACGAGGUCUAAUUUCUGCUGCUGUACUGUACACCCCAAGCACCCCCUGCAUUCUUAUCAUGGAUUGCUGUCAUUCAAGAAGUUAUCAUUUCCUCCCAUUGUGGCUGAGCUACACAUUCUCUUUGUUUUUUUUAAACACAAAACAUCCAGAGGAGAUGGCACCUACGCUGGAAUCCAU
This is a long non-coding RNA of Onychostoma macrolepis, 319 nucleotides long. RefSeq lists it as uncharacterized. The transcript has 3 exons. The record is from RefSeq and is a predicted model, not a curated record. NCBI's taxonomy places the organism in Eukaryota, Metazoa, Chordata, Actinopteri, Cypriniformes, Cyprinidae.